UGGUCUUAAUUGGCCGGGU
This 19-nucleotide non-coding RNA is filed under the name Arabidopsis thaliana (thale cress). Lineage: Eukaryota; Viridiplantae; Streptophyta; Magnoliopsida; Brassicales; Brassicaceae. The record is from RNAcentral.